GCCUACGGGAGGCAGCAGUGAGGAAUAUUGGUCAAUGGCCGAGAGGCUGAACCAGCCAAGUAGCGUGCAGGAUGACGGCCCUCGUGGUUGUAAACUGCUUUUAGUCGGGAAUAAAAGGGGGUUCGUGAACCCCGGAUUGUAUGUACCGACAGAAAAAGGACCGGCUAAUUCCGUGCCAGCAGGCGCGGUAAAACGGAGGAUCCGAGCGUUAUCCGGAUUUAUUGGGUUUAAAGGGUGCGUA
This 241-nucleotide ribosomal RNA is filed under the name uncultured bacterium. Its description in RNAcentral is "partial 16S ribosomal RNA". It matches the Rfam family "Bacterial small subunit ribosomal RNA", at positions 337 to 573 of the family's 1533-position model. The record is from RNAcentral.